This 1476-nucleotide long non-coding RNA is filed under the name Brachypodium distachyon (stiff brome). Its description in RNAcentral is "long non-coding RNA (BDIS_LNC005656)". The record is from RNAcentral. Lineage: Eukaryota; Viridiplantae; Streptophyta; Magnoliopsida; Poales; Poaceae.
CUGAUCCAAAGCAUAAAUAAUUUAAGCACAUGCAAUUAGGGUUUUAACAAGAAGCAAAAGCUAGGGUUUAAACCCUAAAAUGAGGUUUUAUUUGCAUCUGCAAAAUAAAUUAAUUCAAAAUAUUUAUUUAUCUGUCCCAUUGGACAGAGGACAAUAAAACAAAAUUUUGGGCACUGGUUUCAUUCAAAAAAGACUUCUAGUUAAUUAGUUAUGAUUGAAAUGGCAUAAAACCCUAAUCUGUAAUUUGAAUGUGAUUCAAAUAUUCAAAAUUGAAUUUGGACAGUGCGCACUUAGGGAAGGUCGGGAAUGGCGGGCGCGAGGAUUGCGGCGACGCGGGGAUCGCGCGCGUGACCGGCGGCGCUUUCCUUCGGGGAAGACGCAGCUAACAGGUGGACCCCGCCUGUCAGCGACUGCGGGCGCGCGCACGCGGACCGGGCGGUCUGGGCCGGUCGGGCGCGGUCGGACUGGGCCGGUUCGGCCCAUUUUGGCCGGGCCGGUCCGGUUUACCCUUUUUUUUUUCUUUUAGGCCUUUUCUUUUUCUGUUUUUCUCAUUUCUUUGAUAUCUUUUGUGUUUGAACUCCAAAUUGGUCCAAAUAAAUUCCAGAAAUUUUUUAAAAUCAUAUUCUACCAUGAUACAACUUUUGGGAGUAGUUUCUCUUCAAAAUAAAUAUAUAAAAAAUACAUUUGCUCUAUAAAUGCCUUUAGGGCCAUAUAUCUAUUUAAAUAAAAUACUUUUUCAACUCUAAAUAAUUAUCCAAAAAUUAUGGGAUCGCUUAUAUAUGCAUUAAACCCCUUUUAUGCAUAAACCCUAUUGGUUUGAAAAUUCCAAAGCUCAAAUAGGUGUAAACAAAAUCUUUUAAAGCCUUUUGUGUUUCAAAUUUGAAUUCAAACAUGCAAUUGUGGCAUGAUGCUCAUGGAUGAAAUGCACAUGUAAAGGUUUGAAAUUUUGGGAUGUUACAGACCUAACCCCCUUAAGAUGAAUCUCGUCCUCGAGAUUCGGUGUGGCUAGCAAAGAGGUGUGGGUGGUCUUCUCGAAGAUCAUCUUCGCGUUCCCAAGUGGCUUCUUCUUCUGUGUGAUGGUCCCACUGAACCUUGCAGAACUUGAUGGUCUUGUAUCGGGUUUGUCUCUCAGCUGUGUCCAAGAUUUUGAUUGGUUUCUCCUCAUAGGUGAGGUCACUCUGUAAUUGAACUUCCUCCAGUGGAAUUGUAUCCCUCAGGGGUGUGUCGGCCAUCUCGGGGUGACACUUCUUCAGUUGCGAUACGUGGAAGACGUUGUGGACAUUGGACAGUGCUUCCGGCAAAUCCAACUUGUAGGCUACCUCUCCUUGUCGCGACAAGAUCUUGAAGGGUCCAAUGAAACGGGGUGCUAACUUUCCUUUUAUACCAAAUCUCUUCACUCCGCGUAUCGGCGAAACUCUGAGAUACGCUCUAUCUUCAGCUUCAUAGGUAACCUCCGUACGUUUUGUAUCCGUAUAG